AGAGUUUGAUCAUGGCUCAGGAUGAACGCUAGCUACAGGCCUAACACAUGCAAGUCGAGGGCAGCAUGGUCUUAGCUGCUAAGGCCGAUGGCGACCGGCGCACGGGUGAGUAACGCGUAUCCAACCUGCCUUACACUCUUGGACAGCCUUCUGAAAGGGAGAUUAAUACCAAGAUGUUAUCAUGAGUAAGCAUUUUCGCAUGAUUAAAGGUUUACCGGUGUAAGAUGGGGAUGCGUUCCAUUAGAUAGUAGGCGGGGUAACGGCCCACCUAGUCUUCGAUGGAUAGGGGUUCUGAGAGGAAGGUCCCCCACAUUGGAACUGAGACACGGUCCAAACUCCUACGGGAGGCAGCA
This 353-nucleotide ribosomal RNA is filed under the name uncultured bacterium. RNAcentral describes it as "bacterial SSU rRNA". It matches the Rfam family "Bacterial small subunit ribosomal RNA", at positions 8 to 353 of the family's 1533-position model. The record is from RNAcentral.